AGUGAACGCUGGCGGUAGGCCUAACACAUGCAAGUCGAACGGCAGCACAGUAAGAGCUUGCUCUUACGGGUGGCGAGUGGCGGACGGGUGAGGAAUACAUAGGAAUCUACUUUUUCGUGGGGGAUAACGUAGGGAAACUUACGCUAAUACCGCAUACGACCUACGGGUGAAAGCAGGGGAUCUUCGGACCUUGCGCGAUUGAAUGAGCCGAUGUCGGAUUAGCUAGUUGGCGGGGUAAAGGCCCACCAAGGCGACGAUCCGUAGCUGGUCUGAGAGGAUGAUCAGCCACACUGGAACUGAGACACGGUCCAGACUCCUACGGGAGGCAGCAGUGGGGAAUAUUGGACAAUGGGCGCAAGCCUGAUCCAGCCAUACCGCGUGGGUGAAGAAGUCCUUCGGGUUGUAAAGCCCUUUUGUUGGGAAAGAAAAGCAGCAGGUUAAUACCCCGCUGUUCUGACGGUACCCAAAGAAUAAGCAUCGGCUAACUUCGUG
RNAcentral lists this ribosomal RNA (492 nucleotides) under uncultured bacterium. RNAcentral's name for it is "partial 16S ribosomal RNA". It matches the Rfam family "Bacterial small subunit ribosomal RNA", at positions 29 to 507 of the family's 1533-position model. The record is from RNAcentral.